AGAGAGAGUGAGAGAGAGAGAGAACAGCGGGUGACGUGUACAGCUGCCCGCACGAGAUAGGAGGCCCCGUCUAUUUGGGUAUAAAUUUUCGCUUGACCAACGGGUUUCCGUUGAGCGAAAAGACUCCCGCAACACACAAAAAAAAAAAAGGAAAACGGAAACCAGAAACCAAAAUACACGAAGCUCUCUCUCUCUCUCUCUCUCUCUCUCUCUCUCUCUCUCUCUUUCUGUGUUUCAUUCUCUCUCUCUCUUUCUGUGUUUCAUUCUCUCAUUCUCUAGUUCAUCCUCGCGAUUCUUCAUCGUUCUCCUUCGUCUGUUUAAGUUUCAUUUCUAGAUCCGUUUUUAUAAGUGUAUGAUAUUGGUAUUAUUCUCUUAUUUUUACUUCACAAUUGCUUACGAGAGGUUGUCGAUUGUGAUGUGAUUUGAUUUUGGAUUUUGAGGAUGACAAACAAAAACGUAGAACCCUUGCAGUCUCAGGGAGAAGUUGUCGGUCCACCUCCUCCUCCAGCCGGUCAGGCACCUGGUCCGCCCGAUCACACGCGUUCUCGUGGUGGAAACUCGGUUUUCAAGAGUGGGCCGCUUUUUAUAUCAUCCAAAGGUGUGCUUAAUUUACUUAACAUCUUUACUAAAGAUCAAUGGGACAUUGUAUGAAAUGCACUAUUGUAAUGGAUCUUUUGAACAAUGUUGCAAGUGUUGAUGUUAUCUAACCAGUAGCCAUUUUAGUAGUUACUACUGUUCGCUGAAGAUUAAUGACUAAUGAGUGCUUAUCAAUCUAAUGACUAAUCCUAAAAAGAAAAAAAUUCAAAUUACCAAUUAGGGCUUUUGAAUGUAAUGAUUAAUCCUUAAAAAAGUCUAGUGACUAAUUUGGGCUACUGAAUGUGAGAAAACUUGUAGGUUAAUAGC
This is a non-coding RNA of Carica papaya (papaya), 903 nucleotides long. Lineage: Eukaryota; Viridiplantae; Streptophyta; Magnoliopsida; Brassicales; Caricaceae. The record is from RefSeq and is a predicted model, not a curated record.